UACGUAGGGACCUAGCGUUGUCCGGAAUCAUUGGGCGUAAAGCGCGCGUAGGCGGCCCGGUAAGUCCGUUGUAAAAGUCGAAGGCUCAACCUUCGAAAGCCGAUGGAUACUGCCGGGCUAGAGUACGGAAGAGGCGAGUAGAAUUCCUGGUGUAGCGGUGGAAUGCGCAGAUAUCAGGAAGAACACCUAUGGCGAAGGCAGCUCUCUGGGACGGUACUGACGCUGAGGAGCGAAAGCUAGGGGAGCAAACGGG
RNAcentral lists this ribosomal RNA (253 nucleotides) under uncultured bacterium. RNAcentral's name for it is "partial 16S ribosomal RNA". It matches the Rfam family "Bacterial small subunit ribosomal RNA", at positions 524 to 776 of the family's 1533-position model. The record is from RNAcentral.